UGCAAGUUUAUGAGGUAUGUGUGUGCCCACAUGCAUACACACACCUACACAAAUAU
This 56-nucleotide microRNA precursor is filed under the name Tupaia belangeri (northern tree shrew). RNAcentral describes it as "miRNA (ENSTBEG00000017995.1)". The record is from RNAcentral. Lineage: Eukaryota; Metazoa; Chordata; Mammalia; Scandentia; Tupaiidae.